This is a long non-coding RNA of Lolium rigidum, 803 nucleotides long. RefSeq lists it as uncharacterized. The transcript has 3 exons. The record is from RefSeq and is a predicted model, not a curated record. NCBI's taxonomy places the organism in Eukaryota, Viridiplantae, Streptophyta, Magnoliopsida, Poales, Poaceae.
UUAAAAAUUGUUUAUCUUGCCGUCAUUCAUGCCAGCCGCCCUUAAGAUGUAUUCUAAUGUUCCAGCUCAACAAGUCACCCCAGGUCCUUAAAUGUAUUCUAAUGUUCCGGAUGAACAAGUCACCCCUGGUCCUAAUUUGCAAUAUGUUGACCAUAAAGCAACUCCUGAUGCUAAAAUGGGCUUCUCUCUAUAUGAAAGGUUACUUCGGAAAAGAACUGCACCAGUUAUCCAUGAAACUCAUGGAAAUUUCCCUUCUUUCGAUUUAUUGGAAGAAGACAAUGCAAACAUUCAGAUCAAAUCUAUUCCUCGCCAGCAUCAAAACUGAAAGCAAUUGAUCCUAUCUUACAUAUGGCUCUUCAGUAAGUUAAUGUGGGGAAGAAACAUUAGGAGGCCAAAGUAGUGUCAAGUUAUCUACUCCAUUCAUUAAAAGCUGUACAGUGAAGAUGACUGUAGUUCAAACUCCAGAACAAUUUAUUUUUGCAACUUCAUUCGAACAUGAGUUUUACACCACACUGACAACCACCAACCAGGAUAACAGAAAUCUCCACCAAGGCAGGAACACAGCAGCAGCUAUCCAGGAGAAGCUACUCCAGCAAGGCAAGAAACGUAAUAGAAGCUUCGAAAGUUGAGUUUCAUUUAGCCAAGACCAGUAUUUCUUGGCAGGUGUAUUAGACCAUCAUAACAAAUGGGCAUGUGCUGUUUUAUGAAGUGAUAAACAUGAUUCAGUGUACCAGACCAAAAAUUGUACCGGACCAAAAAUUUCGGUCCAGUUUUUGUAAAAUCAUACUAUCAAAUUUUCCUCA